UUAUAGCCCCGGUAGGAGCGGCAUCCUUUGCCUUUUUUCUUUCAAAAGGCAAAGAUAUAGCGGAUAACGGGUCUUUGC
Molecule: small RNA, 78 nt
Filed under: Flavobacterium succinicans
Lineage: Bacteria; Pseudomonadati; Bacteroidota; Flavobacteriia; Flavobacteriales; Flavobacteriaceae
Description: Flavo-1 RNA
Rfam family: Flavo-1 RNA
Source: Rfam by way of RNAcentral